UACGUAGGGUGCGAGCGUUGUCCGGAAUUAUUGGGCGUAAAGGGCUCGUAGGCGGUUUGUCGCGUCGGGAGUGAAAACUCAGGGCUUAACCCUGAGCCUGCUUCCGAUACGGGCAGACUAGAGUGUGGUAGGGGAGACUGGAAUUCCUGGUGUAGCGGUGGAAUGCGCAGAUAUCAGGAGGAACACCGGUGGCGAAGGCGGGUCUCUGGGCCAUAACUGACACUGAGGCACGAAAGCUAGGGGAGCAAACAGG
RNAcentral lists this ribosomal RNA (253 nucleotides) under uncultured bacterium. RNAcentral's name for it is "partial 16S ribosomal RNA". It matches the Rfam family "Bacterial small subunit ribosomal RNA", at positions 524 to 776 of the family's 1533-position model. The record is from RNAcentral.